This is a long non-coding RNA of Orcinus orca (killer whale), 415 nucleotides long. RefSeq lists it as uncharacterized. NCBI's taxonomy places the organism in Eukaryota, Metazoa, Chordata, Mammalia, Artiodactyla, Delphinidae. The transcript has 5 exons. The record is from RefSeq and is a predicted model, not a curated record.
UUAGAAUCAUCAUACCUGAAUCCACUCAUUGUGCUGCUACGGGCCUGAUGACAUAGAUUUCAUUGCUGAGUGAUAUUGCCUUUUAGAAUCAUCAUACCUGAAUCCACUCAUUGUGCUGCUACGGGCCUGAUGACAUAGAUUUCAUUGCUGAGUGAUAUUGCCUUUUAGAAUCAUCAUACCUGAAUCCACUCAUUGUGCUGCUACGGGCCUGAUGACAUAGAUUUCAUUGCUGAGUGAUAUUGCCUUUUAGAAUCAUCAUACCUGAAUCCACUCAUUAUGCUGCUACGGGCCUGAUGACAUAGAUUUCAUUGCUGAGUGAUACUGCAUUGUACUUAGAAUCAUCAUACCUGAAUCCACUCAUUAUGCUGCUACGGGCCUGAUGACAUAGAUUUCAUUGCUGAGUGAUACUGCAUUU